Long non-coding RNA from Scylla paramamosain (green mud crab), 679 nucleotides. RefSeq lists it as uncharacterized. The record is from RefSeq and is a predicted model, not a curated record. The transcript is spliced from 4 exons. Lineage: Eukaryota; Metazoa; Arthropoda; Malacostraca; Decapoda; Portunidae.
CAGAUUCGUAACUUUCCUGGUAACUUCUGGAGAACAUGAGGCAAUUUAUUCUGCUGUCGGCGGUGGUGGUGAUGGUGGCAGCGAUGCCCGAUGUAAAGGCUUCACCAGAUCCAAACUACGCCCCAUACUGCAAUGUUGUGAAAAAGCAGACGCGCGUGUGUUGCUCUGACAACAACAUCUACAACAACUUGUGCGCACUGAACCACCAGAAAUGCAACGAUGCAACACUCACUCAACUUGGCUAAGCGGCCUGCAAGAAACUGCUGAGAGAGAAAAGAUGAAGGCAGACCUGUGUGCAAACCAAACCGUCUAUCUUGUGUGGCGCUGACGGCAUGCUGUACAGCGACUGCGAGCUGGAAGCCGAGCGCUGCAACGAGCCUGACUUCCAGGCUGACGACAACCUGAAGGGAUGCCCAGGUCAUCAUCCAGCCUGGAGCAUACUGGGAUGGUCAUGAAUGGAAAAGUUCUGGAAACAAACGAUGGGCCAGUAAUAAAACUAGAAAAUUAGGAACAUGAACACCAAGAUGAACUGCAAACUACUGAACAAGUAGCUGGUGACCAAGUGCUAGUGCUGAACAACGGUUCAAGGAAGAGGGCAAGAGCAUCCUCUUCUUCAGCAUCCCUAAAGUGCUCCACGCCCAAGAAAGCGGCCCGUAACCUGCUGGAGGACAGCAGCAGU